GAUGAACGCUGGCGGCGUGCCUAAUACAUGCAAGUCGAGCGAACGGACGAGAAGCUUGCUUUUCUGAUGUUAGCGGCGGACGGGUGAGUAACACGUGGAUAACCUACCUAUAAGACUGGGAUAACUUCGGGAAACCGGAGCUAAUACCGGAUAAUAUUUUGAACCGCAUGGUUCAAAAGUGAAAGACGGUCUUGCUGUCACUUAUAGAUGGAUCCGCGCUGCAUUAGCUAGUUGGUAUGGUAACGGCUUACCAAGGCAACGAUGCAUAGCCGACCUGAGAGGGUGAUCGGCCACACUGGAACUGAGACACGGUCAAUACUCCUAAGGGAGGCAGCAGUCGGGAAUCUUCGGCAAUGGGCGAAAGCCUGACGUAGCAACGCCGCGUGAGUGAUGGGGAUCUUCGGAUCGUAAAGCUCUGUUAUUAGGUAUGAACAGAUGUGUAAGUAAAUGUGCACAUCUUGACGGUACCGAAUCAGAAAGCAACGGCUAACUACGUG
RNAcentral lists this ribosomal RNA (497 nucleotides) under uncultured bacterium. RNAcentral describes it as "partial 16S ribosomal RNA". It matches the Rfam family "Bacterial small subunit ribosomal RNA", at positions 28 to 507 of the family's 1533-position model. The record is from RNAcentral.